UAAGGGGUAGGGAAAUGGUAUCCCAUAAAACUUUGAAUUUUGUAUUAAGAGUUCGACUCUCUUCCCCUUGG
RNAcentral lists this transfer RNA (71 nucleotides) under Ophiopholis mirabilis. RNAcentral describes it as "tRNA-Gln". It matches the Rfam family "tRNA". From Rfam's summary of the family: Transfer RNA (tRNA) molecules are approximately 80 nucleotides in length. The record is from RNAcentral. Lineage: Eukaryota; Metazoa; Echinodermata; Ophiuroidea; Amphilepidida; Ophiactidae.